UGUUUAACUGACAUGAUUGUGGGACGUCCUACCGGUGGACUUAGCCUCUAUAUCUUCGGAUUUAGGGGCGGUCCAGCUAAUAUCCCAUCGCGGUGCUUUUCAUCGAGUGUCGAGGUGGGCCGGUACGUUUACUUUGAACAAAUUAGAGUGCUCAAAGCAGGCCAUCCUCGCCUGAAUACUGUGUGCAUGGAAUAAUGGAAUAGG
This 204-nucleotide ribosomal RNA is filed under the name Colocharis napoana. Its description in RNAcentral is "partial 18S ribosomal RNA". The record is from RNAcentral. Lineage: Eukaryota; Metazoa; Arthropoda; Insecta; Hymenoptera; Eucharitidae. RNAcentral also lists the same sequence under 4 other names.